Molecule: long non-coding RNA, 1981 nt
Organism: Dreissena polymorpha
Lineage: Eukaryota; Metazoa; Mollusca; Bivalvia; Myida; Dreissenidae
Exons: 3
Source: RefSeq, a predicted model, not a curated record
AAAUGGAGUGCUUAAACUGUAAAAAGCCCACACACAAGGACUGGACAUGUUGUCCAUUUUGUAUGGCAAUACUCCCAGUUUUUGCAGACCAGUCCAUUAAAAAGGGUAAAGGAGAUGUAGAAGAAAAAAUGCUUCAGAAAAAUGUGCUGAAGGAAGCGUCAACGAGACUAAUUCAACGGGGACAGUUUCGACUGCUGCAAAACGUAUUUACAAUAACUCAUUCUCUGCGCUUUAUAGCAUAGCCUUUCUCGGGUCAGGUUCGUGGAAAUAUUGACCGUGUGGUCAAAGUCAAUUAAUCCAUGACUAAGAGAAACACAUUUCUAAGAGAAACCUAUGUACCAAUGACUAUAACAUAACGUUUGACAUUCGAGCCUUGUGUUUGUGAGAUUAAUGCCAUCUCAAAGAGGUUGACAUGUUUGCUUUAAAGUGUGUGGCAAGUGAACUUAUGAAUUAGUUAUGAUUCUAAAAACACAAUGAACCUAUUUAUUUGGCCAUGAUUGUAUCUAACGCCAUUGGCGUGUAGAAACACUGUUUUAGAUCUGUUUUCAUGGAAUAAGCAGACCGUGGUGUUUUUUUAAGGAUCCUGGAACACUUAACGACUGGAGAUUGCACCCUAGACCUCUCGGUUGCAUAGCGGACACCAUAUACAUCACGCCGAUAUGACUUUGAACGAAAAUUGACCUAGCAAUUUUAAGUCAUAAACCUUGGUCAUAAACGGUUCUCAACAAAGGAACAUUUUAUGCAAGCACUUGACAAUUUAAAACCGUAAUGUCUAGUUCCAAAGUUCAGCUUUUUUUGGCAAACGUAAAGUUUCAAUUAAAUACAAAAUAUACGUUUAACUACAUAUUAUCUUGCAUACCAACUUACCAAAAGACCCUAAUAAUGUACGUUCUUUUGACAUGAAUUUCAUACGAAUCGACAUUUGUCACUUUUUUGCCUUUAACCAAGACUAAAUAAGGGGUUAGCGGUAAGUUUUUAUAUUACACAGACGUCAGGGCGUAUAAAUAUUUAUCUAUACGGGAUAAACAGGUUUAAAAUGAUUCAAUGACGUACCAUAUAGUGAACAACACCGCUAGACUUUUCAUCACAUUGUUUCAAAAGUAAAAUUAUCUGCAUAGGUAAUUAAUAAUCAAAGCAUUUAUCAGCUUUGGCUGGAAUAUAGUUCAUCAAUUUAGAAAACGAUGAUAAUAUCACAAGAUUGCCGAUAAGAUAAUAGCUAUUAACCAAAUUUAAAUUUCGAUUACAAUUCUUCUGCCACAUUCAAAUUUGGUAUAACUUAUAUAAUUGUGUAUAUAAUCAUGAAAAUGAUACUUUGUUUUCUUAAAAGCCCACAAACCCUCUAAAUCAACGAAUAUUUCGAACAAUAUCUCGAAAAAUAUAGUUAAUACAUUCAAAAUCAAUGUUCCUUAUAGCAAUAGACACAAUUUUAACGUUAGAUGUGGACAGGUAAUAUAGAUUUUUUACAAGAUAAAAGUGCUCUUUUUUGUGGGACAAUAUAUUCAACAUGUUCAUAUAAAAAGUUAGUGGUCGUGUCAAGUAUGAUAGAUAUCGUUGCCGAAAUGACAAUGGAGUAUAUUUUGCCAAAAAAAUAAAAUAAAAACAAGCAUUGUGUAUCUCGUUUAAUCUAUGUUUUAAUAUUUUGUUUGUCAAAUACUUGUCGAAAUGUACUUUUUAAGGCAAGUUAAAACUAGCUUUUAACAGUUUAUACACAAGGCUUUAUCGUUAACUCACAUUUCCCCAGACGCGUCUAUUAAAUAUUAAAUUCAUUAAGAUAGAACGCAGAUUACAAUCAGCCCUAUUCUCCUUUAUCUAACAAAUUUGUUUUGAAACAUGCUUCAUGAUUAUAUCUUGUGAACAAGUAAUUUUAACAUGUAAUUUUGGUUUAGUAACAGUAACCUGAUAUUUUUCAUCUUGAAACACUUAGGAUCGAUAAGUAGCCUGUAAUCACUUUUAUUAUGGGUAAUAAAUUGUUUGAUCAUAA